RNAcentral lists this ribosomal RNA (451 nucleotides) under uncultured cyanobacterium. Its description in RNAcentral is "bacterial SSU rRNA". It matches the Rfam family "Bacterial small subunit ribosomal RNA", at positions 8 to 501 of the family's 1533-position model. Lineage: Bacteria; Bacillati; Cyanobacteriota. The record is from RNAcentral.
AGAGUUUGAUCCUGGCUCAGGAUGAACGCUGGCGGUCUGCUUAACACAUGCAAGUCGAACGGAAUCUUUCGGGAUUUAGUGGCGGACGGGUGAGUAACGCGUGAGAAUCUGCCUUCAGGUUCGGGACAACAGUUGGAAACGGCUGCUAAUACCGGAUGUGCCGAGAGGUGAAAGCUUAAGUGCCUGGAGAUGAGCUCGCGUCUGAUUAGCUAGUAGGAGUGGUAACGGCACCCCUAGGCGACGAUCAGUAGCUGGUCUGAGAGGAUGAUCAGCCACACUGGGACUGAGACACGGCCCAGACUCCUACGGGAGGCAGCAGUGGGGAAUUUUCCGCAAUGGGCGCAAGCCUGACGGAGCAAGACCGCGUGAGGGAAGAAGGUCUGUGGAUUGUAAACCUCUUUUGAUCGGGAAGAAGACAGUGACGGUACCGAUCGAAUCAGCUCGAUCCCUU